Long non-coding RNA from Homo sapiens (human), 850 nucleotides. Ensembl annotates it as long intergenic non-protein coding RNA 1825. Lineage: Eukaryota; Metazoa; Chordata; Mammalia; Primates; Hominidae. The record is from Ensembl.
UCCAUCAACAUGCUGCCACUUCAUCUUGUUUAGGCUCUUCGACUGCUUUAUAGAAGGACACUGAAGUCCACAUCUAUCUCCUUGAGACAGGCAAAGAAACAAAUCCUUUAUCCUGUCUCAAAAAGAGCUGACAAGCUUUUAGUAGUGUUUAUCUUCACUGAAGGGUGAUAACCUUGAAAAUGAAAGUGAAAAGAGACUGAUACAAUUAGAUAAAGAAACCAGGACUCAAAGAUGAAGUAACUUGUUCAAAGUCUGGCAGCUACUAAGUGACAGAGCUGAAAUUCAAGCCACCAACUACAAGGUUCAUAUUCUGUUCACUUCAUCAGGCUGUUUACUGUAGGCAAAAAUACUAUUUUACAGCCAUAAUUAAACAACUUUCUAGCAAACGGCAUUUCUAUCAUUCUAGCACCACUAGCAUUAUCGCCUCUUCUCCCAUUGACAUAUUUUUUUAAGGCACUAACCUGGAAUUUCUUCUUCCAGUACAGAUGGACUAAGGGGGCGCAAACCCCCCUGGGUGAAACAACAAAAAGAAAAACAGAUAAAAUAUAUUAAACAACAGCUCUCAAGAUACUAGCAUCAGGCAACAAACCAAAGUGAUCCCUGUGAGAUAGUAAACAAAUGAGGUGAACCCUAUGACAGGUGCAACUUACUGCUUUGCAGAGUUUCCAGGCCAUGACACUAAGAGGAGAUAUCCAAGCAGAGCCCAGUGAAUGACCCAGAUUGAGGAGACAGAGCUGAAAGUCCAAGAAGACCCAAGGCAGCUGGAAUUUGCAAGACCGAGUACCAGAGAAAAGAGGGCUGAGCAGAGAUAGAAUUCCAGAGAUUUGUAAAGGGUCUCCCUUAAGUAUUU